Long non-coding RNA from Daphnia magna, 493 nucleotides. RefSeq lists it as uncharacterized. The transcript is spliced from 3 exons. The record is from RefSeq and is a predicted model, not a curated record. NCBI's taxonomy places the organism in Eukaryota, Metazoa, Arthropoda, Branchiopoda, Diplostraca, Daphniidae.
CUUCAUUUGUCGAUCGACAGUUCGCGAGGUGACAAACGAAAAUGCAAUCAGUCAUUUAUUUCCACUUGGCAUAGUCUACCUUCAUUGAAAGAAUAGAGCAACGAAAAGCAGCCGUACUGCCCCGACGAACUCGAGGAUUUUCCACGUUGACCUCGGAUGGCGGCCAAAUUACUUUUGGCACCAAAAAGUAAAUUCUCCGAGACUAGUCCUGCAUGGACGCGCACAGGAGUGGAGAGGAUGCGACCAAUGAAAUUGGCUGCCAAAAGCCUGUAGGGGCCAGCGUGAACGUCUGGUCGGAACUGCUCCGGCCAAAAGGUGUGCAAAGUCAAACUGCCAUUAGGUGAUGACGUGAUUAGAUUAUUUGUCGUUGCAGUUGACACUGCAGACGUAGAAGAUGAUUCGACUGUAUUCCACAUGCCUCUGCCUGUCGCGUUGCUGCCUAAACGUUCUUUAAGAUCAAGUAUAACGUUCAUUACAACUCAAAUGAACAGGG